Molecule: unclassified non-coding RNA, 282 nt
Filed under: Cephalotrichum stemonitis
Lineage: Eukaryota; Fungi; Ascomycota; Sordariomycetes; Microascales; Microascaceae
Description: sequence contains 5.8S rRNA gene
Rfam family: 5.8S ribosomal RNA (bases 1-53)
Source: RNAcentral
GAACGCACAUUGCGCCCGGCAGUAAUCUGCCGGGCAUGCCUGUCCGAGCGUCAUUUCUGCCCUCGAGCCUGUCCAGCAUCUAGGUGCUGUUCCGGCCCGGCGUUGGGGCACUACGGGAAGCCUCGUGCUAUCCCCCGUAGGCCCCGAAAUGAAGUGGCGGUCCUGCCGCGGCUCCCCCUGCGUAGUAUUACAGCUCGCUUCGGGACCCGGUGGAGGCCUGCCGUCAAACCUUACUCUCUAAGUUUGACCUCGGAUCAGGUAGGGUUACCCGCUGAACUUAAG